This is a long non-coding RNA of Drosophila persimilis, 409 nucleotides long. RefSeq lists it as uncharacterized. NCBI's taxonomy places the organism in Eukaryota, Metazoa, Arthropoda, Insecta, Diptera, Drosophilidae. The transcript has 3 exons. The record is from RefSeq and is a predicted model, not a curated record.
CUUGCUAAACACAGCCUGAACUGCUUGGAUGUUGCACUUUCCACCGCCAAAAGCCAGCAUCAUCAACAGCUCUGAUUGGUUUUGGCCACUUUUUUCAUGGCUCAACAGACGACUGGCCAUCCAUAAAUCACACAUGCACAUAUCUGCGACUGCAGGAGGAGUGAUGCCACAGGAUUCAUGCAAAAAUUAUCUGGCGAACAGAGGAAUACUGAAUGCAGAAAUAUUUCUACAUUGAAGUGCCAGCCUCCCAAUGAAUCCGGGCGAAAUCUUAACGCUAAACAUCCACAAAAGAUGUUUACAGUUCAUGGAUACCCUUUGGAACAGCCGUUUAAACAAUGGUUGCCACUUGAAGACUCAAAAUAUAUAAAUACUAAGAUGCGUCUUUCUUGGAACCUGUCUUCCAAUGAAA